This 72-nucleotide transfer RNA is filed under the name Camelus bactrianus (Bactrian camel). It matches the Rfam family "tRNA". From Rfam's summary of the family: Transfer RNA (tRNA) molecules are approximately 80 nucleotides in length. Their secondary structure includes four short double-helical elements and three loops (D, anti-codon, and T loops). Further hydrogen bonds mediate the characteristic L-shaped molecular structure. tRNAs have two regions of fundamental functional importance: the anti-codon, which is responsible for specific mRNA codon recognition, and the 3' end, to which the tRNAs corresponding amino acid is attached (by aminoacyl-tRNA synthetases). tRNAs cope with the degeneracy of the genetic code in two manners: having more than one tRNA (with a specific anti-codon) for a particular amino acid; and 'wobble' base-pairing, i.e. permitting non-standard base-pairing at the 3rd anti-codon position. RNAcentral also lists the same sequence under 2 other names. Lineage: Eukaryota; Metazoa; Chordata; Mammalia; Artiodactyla; Camelidae. The record is from Rfam by way of RNAcentral.
GAAGGCAUAGUUCAGUGGUAAAGUGCAUGCCUAGCAUGCAUGAGGUCAUGGGUUCAAUCCCUAGUACCUUCA